UACAGAGGUGGCAAGCGUUGUUCGGAAUUACUGGGCGUAAAGGGCGCGUAGGCGGUCUUGUCAGUCCCUUGUGAAAUCCCCCGGCUCAACUGGGGAACUGCACGGGAAACAGCAGGGCUUGAGUUCGGGAGAGGGAAGCGGAAUUCCGGGUGUAGCGGUGAAAUGCGUAGAUAUCCGGAGGAACACCGGUGGCGAAGGCGGGUCUCUGGACAGUUCCUGACGCUGAGGCACGAAGGCCAGGGGAGCAAACGGG
This 253-nucleotide ribosomal RNA is filed under the name uncultured bacterium. Its description in RNAcentral is "partial 16S ribosomal RNA". It matches the Rfam family "Bacterial small subunit ribosomal RNA", at positions 524 to 776 of the family's 1533-position model. The record is from RNAcentral.